Molecule: ribosomal RNA, 253 nt
Filed under: uncultured bacterium
Lineage: Bacteria
Description: partial 16S ribosomal RNA
Rfam family: Bacterial small subunit ribosomal RNA
Source: RNAcentral
UACGUAGGGACCGAGCGUUGUCCGGAUUUAUUGGGCGUAAAGCGCGCGCAGGCGGCCUUCCAAGUCCCGCGUGAAAUCGCCCGGCUCAACCGGGCGGGGUCGCGGGAGACUGGGGGGCUCGAGCGAGGGAGGGGGCAGUGGAAUUCCCGGUGUAGUGGUGGAAUGCGUAGAUAUCGGGAGGAACACCAGUGGCGAAGGCGGCUGCCUGGACCUCUGCUGACGCUGAGGCGCGAAAGCGUGGGGAGCGAGCCGG